AUGGGGGCAGAGCUGCUGCUGCUCGGCGGGAAGGUGUCCGCCGGCGGCGCAGCAGGAUCUGGCGCCGUCGCUGCGUCCUCGGCGGGAGCCGGACGGUGCGUGGCCGGCGGGCGGCGACUCGCGCCGGUGCAGCCGGCGGCGCUGCAAUGGCGGCAUAGUAGCCGCACCAGCACAGAUCAGAAGCCACCACUGCAACGCUGCGCCGCCGCCGAACUGUGGAGAGGAGACGCGGAGGACGGGAAGAUGGGAUUCGAGAAGGAGAUCCUGAAAGCCGGCACCGGCCCCAAGCCCGUCAAGGGCCAGAAGGUCACCGUCCACUGCACCGGCUACGGGAAGGAUGGUGAUCUGUCUAAGAAGUUUUGGAGUACCAAGGACCCUGGGCAGCAGCCAUUCUCUUUCAACAUUGGUCUGGGUUCAGUGAUCAAAGGAUGGGAUGAGGGAGUUAUGGGCAUGCAAUUGGGUGAAGUCGCCCGUCUUACGUGCACCCCAGACUACGCUUACGGUGAAGGUGGCUUUCCAGCCUGGGGAAUUCAACCAAACUCCGUGCUGAUAUUCGAGAUCGAAGUUCUUAGCGCCAAGUGA
This 582-nucleotide ribosomal RNA is filed under the name Triticum aestivum (bread wheat). Its description in RNAcentral is "partial small subunit ribosomal RNA". The record is from RNAcentral. Lineage: Eukaryota; Viridiplantae; Streptophyta; Magnoliopsida; Poales; Poaceae.